Mytilus californianus (California mussel) is the source of this 744-nucleotide long non-coding RNA. RefSeq lists it as uncharacterized. The transcript is spliced from 3 exons. The record is from RefSeq and is a predicted model, not a curated record. Lineage: Eukaryota; Metazoa; Mollusca; Bivalvia; Mytilida; Mytilidae.
AGGUUCUUCUGUGGUAUGUUUUCAUGGUGUGGGAAUAAGACUUGGUGGUCUAAUACAGCUAAUACGAAGGUUAGCAUCACAGCUUGUCUGUAAAGAUUGAAGCUGGGAGUGGGCAUUGGAGCUGACUUUUAUGGUAACUGUGGCUGCAUAAAAGGGCUAUGUGAUUUUACUGUAACAGUAAAGAAUGUAAUUCAGACUAUUUUUGUGUAUGUUUGAGAAAAUGUUUAUAAUUUUUACAAAAAGAAAAAAAAAAUGUACAGGUUCUCCAUUUUCAACAAGAUUGGAAGUUGUAGGUUAAUAGGUCUUUGAAAUUUCAAAAAUUACUUUCUAUUUUCUGUUCAUACUCAUGUCUAGGCAAAACACUUCCAGUAGUUUAAGAAUGGAGAAUCUAAAAAAAAAGAAAAAGAAAAAGAAAAAAAUGUUCAAUUAUUGAAAUGUUUUUUAUUUUUGCAAAUUGUAAUAUAUUUUUUCACCUUUGUGUCAUUUUUAGCUGAGUUUAUAACAAAAGGUAUACUAUUUUAAGAAUAUUUUACAAGAAGCAUAGUUGAAUAUCUUGAUGAAAGUAGAUUGAUUGAUUUUUGGUAUUUAACACCACUUUCAGCAUGAUUUGCUAUAUCUUGGCUGCCAGUUUUUAUUUGUGGAGACAGCCUGGUGAAAACAUCCCCUUAAACAGAGAAACUGGCAACUCUAGUCAAUUAAGAUUGAUGUUAAACACACCUACAAUGUGAGGGUUCAGAGUGUUGA